UGGAUUUGAUAGAUCCUUUAGA
Molecule: transfer RNA, 22 nt
Filed under: Pristimantis curtipes (Intac robber frog)
Lineage: Eukaryota; Metazoa; Chordata; Amphibia; Anura; Strabomantidae
Description: partial tRNA-Phe
Source: RNAcentral